AUUCUCAAUUCAGCAGCACAUAUACUAAAACUGAAAUGAUACAGAGUUAAUUAGCACAGCCCCUGAACAAGGAUGCCAUGCAAAUUUGUGAAGUGUUCCAUAUUUUU
Molecule: small nuclear RNA, 107 nt
Filed under: Catagonus wagneri (Chacoan peccary)
Lineage: Eukaryota; Metazoa; Chordata; Mammalia; Artiodactyla; Tayassuidae
Source: RNAcentral